CCUACGUGUGGCAGCAGUGGGGAAUAUUGGGCAAUGGGCGCAAGCCUGACCCAGCAACGCCGCGUGAAGGAAGAAGGCUUUCGGGUUGUAAACUUCUUUUCCCAGGGACGAAGCAAGUGACGGUACCUGAGGAAUAAGCCACGGCUAACUACGUGCCAGCAGCCGCGGUAAUACGUAGGUGGCAAGCGUGAUUGGGAUUUACUGGGGGUAAAGGGCGUGUAGGUGGGAAAGGAAGUCCGACGUGAAAAACAUGGGCUCAACCUGUGGCCUGCAUUUGGAACUGUUUUUCUGGAGUACUGGAGUGUGUGAGAGGAUAGUGGAAUUCCUGGUGUAGGAGUGAAAUCCGUAGAUAUCUGGAGGAACAUCAGUGGCGAAGGCGACUAUCUGGCACAUAACUGACGCUGAGGAGCGAAAGCGUGGGUAGCAAACAGGAUUAGAUACCCCAGUAGUC
RNAcentral lists this ribosomal RNA (451 nucleotides) under uncultured bacterium. Its description in RNAcentral is "partial 16S ribosomal RNA". It matches the Rfam family "Bacterial small subunit ribosomal RNA", at positions 338 to 795 of the family's 1533-position model. The record is from RNAcentral.